ACGAACGCUGGCGGCAGGCCUAACACAUGCAAGUCGAACGCCCUGGCAACAGGGAGUGGCAGACGGGUGAGUAACGCGUGGGAAUCUACCUUGUGGUACGGAACAACCAAGGGAAACUUUGGCUAAUACCGUAUGAGCCCUUCGGGGGAAAGAUUUAUCGCCAUAAGAUGAGCCCGCGUAGGAUUAGCUAGUUGGUGAGGUAAUGGCUCACCAAGGCGACGAUCCUUAGCUGGUCUGAGAGGAUGACCAGCCACACUGGGACUGAGACACGGCCCAGACUCCUACGGGAGGCAGCAGUGGGGAAUAUUGGACAAUGGGCGCAAGCCUGAUCCAGCCAUGCCGCGUGUGUGAUGAAGGCCUUAGGGUUGUAAAGCACUUUCGCCGAUGAAGAUAAUGACUGUAGUCGGAGAAGAAGCCCCGGCUAACUUCGU
Molecule: ribosomal RNA, 431 nt
Filed under: uncultured bacterium
Lineage: Bacteria
Description: bacterial SSU rRNA
Rfam family: Bacterial small subunit ribosomal RNA
Source: RNAcentral